CCUACGGGAGGCAGCAGUGAGGAAUAUUGGUCAAUGGACGAGAGUCUGAACCAGCCAAGUAGCGUGAAGGAUGACUGCCCUAUGGGUUGUAAACUUCUUUUAUAAAGGAAUAAAACGAGGCACGUGUGCCUUUUUGCAUGUACUUUAUGAAUAAGGAUCGGCUAACUCCGUGCCAGCAGCCGCGGUAAUACGGAGGAUCCGGGCGUUAUCCGGAUUUGUUGGGUUUAAAGGGAGCGUAGAUGGGUUGUUAAGUCAGUUGUGAAAGUUUGCGGCUCAACCGUAAAAUUGCAAUUGAUACUGGCAGUCUUGAGUACAGUUGAGGUAGGCGGAAUUCGUGGUGUAGCGGUGAAAUGCUUAGAUAUCACGAAGAACCCCGAUUGCGAAGGCAGCUUACUAAACUGUGACUGACAUUGAUGCUCGAAAGUGUGGGUAUCAAACAGGAUUAGAUACCCUUGUAGUC
Molecule: ribosomal RNA, 460 nt
Filed under: uncultured bacterium
Lineage: Bacteria
Description: partial 16S ribosomal RNA
Rfam family: Bacterial small subunit ribosomal RNA
Source: RNAcentral